CAUGCUUAAACCGUUGUUGGUUUAAGUAGGAAUUCCAUGUUUUUUACAAAUACUGAUCCGGAUUUUUAUAUAUGCUUUAUUUUGUGGAAACCAAAGCCAUCAUUUUAAAUACCAGGUUUAAGAAAAGCAUGGAGAAAGGUGGAAAUGUAUGCUACUAUUAUUAUAACUUCAACUUGAGCUCAUUCCAGAAAUCCAGAAGUAAGAAACAAAGUUUCUCCUAACUUUCCCCAAAGCGACCAUCCGUUAAAGAAG
Long non-coding RNA from Argiope bruennichi, 252 nucleotides. RefSeq lists it as uncharacterized. NCBI's taxonomy places the organism in Eukaryota, Metazoa, Arthropoda, Arachnida, Araneae, Araneidae. The record is from RefSeq and is a predicted model, not a curated record. The transcript has 3 exons.